AGUUCGUGGAGUGAUCUGUCUGCUUAAUUGCGUUUCAAAAUUUAACUUGAGGACCGGGUUUUGGUUUGGCUAGUGGUUCUACGAUGACUGUGAACUGUCAUGUCUUCGGAUGUGCGACUAUUGGUCUAGGAUCACAUGACUUGCCCCUGGGACUCUUUUGAACGCAACGGACGUGAUUGCAACCCCUUGUUGAGAUUAGAGAUAGUCUCGAUAUUCACUGGACAAACUGGCUGCUUUAUGCAGUCUUGUUGAAUGGUGGAUAAACUCGGGGGACUGCUGACUAUAACCAUUUCUCAAAACAGAGGAAGGUUGCGGCAAUAACAGGUCUGUGAUGCCCUCAGAUGUCCCGGGCUGCACACGUGCUACAAUGAGUGGCGCAAUGUGCUAAUGUUUAAGGGAUAAGAGUGUGGUCAGUAGAACGUCGGGAUUUCCCCUGACGUCUCCCCCGCACGAUUAUCAGCCUUCCCUUAACAGGGCGGGCAACCUUUUCAAAAUACUGGUUUGAUGUUAAAGUAUUGAGUCGUUUUUUUUGGAUGGUGGUUUGUUAACCAAUACCAUCCGGCAACUGCUCGCGAGUUUGUGGUUCUGGCGACUCAUGGU
RNAcentral lists this ribosomal RNA (600 nucleotides) under Globigerinoides ruber albus. Its description in RNAcentral is "partial small subunit ribosomal RNA". The stretch from base 1 to 536 matches the Rfam family "Eukaryotic small subunit ribosomal RNA", at positions 1296 to 1605 of the family's 1831-position model. Lineage: Eukaryota; Foraminifera; Rotaliida; Globigerinidae. The record is from RNAcentral.